CAGGAGCUGAUCUUGGAUUUGGUGGAGUCUCUGUCACGAGACUGCUCCGAUGGAUUACUUUGGGCUGCGGUGCCGGUUUGACGCCUUCUCCGUCGCUGUCCAGCCUGUGUGGGUCCCGGUAGUCGAACAGCGAGCGUACCGUCUCCGCCAUGUUCACGCCAGCGAUCACUGAUGUUGUGCCGUCGCCGACGCCGUCGCACUGUGAUCAGCUUCUCGCUCUUCCCCUCACUCGCUCGACUGGCUCACACCAAGGUUACUCCAGGCGCUACCAUCGCGCCGCGGCACAGGGGGUAUGUCAUCAUCAUCUGAUUCCAUGUCAACAGGAGUGUGGACUGAAGAUGAGAUAAUGCUACUUCAAGUAUCAACAACAAUAAACAGUUGUUGGUAACACUAGCAAGUCCAGUCGCCCCCUACAGUCAACUACAGAGGUUGUCUAUGACCCGGAUGACUGAGAACCUUCGCAGACAUCCUUCCAGUAUCAACAUCCCCUUGGCUACUGCCAAGAGAAAGGCUGAUGUGGAGCGAUCCAAGACCAGAGGGAACAUCGGUGCUGCGUUUGAACAGUGGCGAC
Solea senegalensis (Senegalese sole) is the source of this 571-nucleotide long non-coding RNA. RefSeq lists it as uncharacterized. The record is from RefSeq and is a predicted model, not a curated record. The transcript has 4 exons. NCBI's taxonomy places the organism in Eukaryota, Metazoa, Chordata, Actinopteri, Pleuronectiformes, Soleidae.